Molecule: ribosomal RNA, 581 nt
Filed under: uncultured Pseudomonadota bacterium
Lineage: Bacteria; Pseudomonadati; Pseudomonadota
Description: bacterial SSU rRNA
Rfam family: Bacterial small subunit ribosomal RNA
Source: RNAcentral
ACGGGUGAGUAAUGCCUCGGAACCUGCCCGGGAGUGGGGGACGGCCUUGCGAAAGGAGGAUUAAUACCGCAUACGCCCUACGGAAGAAAGCGGGGGAUCUUCGGACCUUGCGCUCUCGGAGCAGCCUAUGGCGGAUUAGCUAGUUGGUGAGGUAAUGGCUCACCAAGGCGACGAUCCGUAACUGGUCUGAGAGGACGACCAGCCACACUGGAACUGAGACACGGCCCAGACUCCUACGGGAGGCAGCAGUGGGGAAUUUUGGACAAUGGGGGCAACCCUGAUCCAGCCAUGCCGCGUGUGUGAAGAAGGUCUUCGGAUUGUAAAGCACUUUUGUUUGGAAGGAAGGGUUGUGGAUUAAUACCUCGGGGGUAUGACGGUACCGAAAGAAUAAGCACCGGCUAACUCUGUGCCAGCAGCCGCGGUAAUACAUAGGGUGCAAGCGUUAAUCGGAAUUACUGGGCGUAAAGCGCGCGCAGGUGGUUUGUUAAGAUGGAUGUGAAAUCCCCGGGCUCAACCUGGGAACUGCAUUGGUGACUGGCGAGCUAGAGUGUGGCAGAGGGUGGUGGAAUUCCCCGUGUAGC